Molecule: ribosomal RNA, 352 nt
Filed under: uncultured bacterium
Lineage: Bacteria
Description: partial 16S ribosomal RNA
Rfam family: Bacterial small subunit ribosomal RNA
Source: RNAcentral
CCUACGGGUGGCAGCAGUAGGGAAUCUUCCACAAUGGGCGAAAGCCUGAUGGAGCAACGCCGCGUGGGUGAAGAAGGUCUUCGGAUCGUAAAACCCUGUUGUUAGAGAAGAAAGUGAGUGAGAGUAACUGUUCACGUGUAGACGGUAUCGAACCAGAAAGCCACGGCUAACUACGUGCCAGCAGCCGCGGUAAUACGUAGGUGGCAAGCGUUAUCCGGAUUUAUUGGGCGUAAAGGGGACGCAGGCGGUCUUUUAAGUCUGAUGUGAACGCCUUCGGCUUAACCGGAGUAGUGCCUUUGAUACUGGGAGACUUGAGUGCAGCAGAGGAGAGUGGACCUCCCUGUGUAGCGGU